GUCACAUUUACGUGCAAUAUGGCCGCAAAUCACGGCCUGUCACCUUAGAACAUGUCUAUAUGCUCUAAGUCUGUCACUAAGCAGCGAGUACGUAAAAGUAGUAGGGUUAUCACAUCAUAAAUAUAAUCAUACUUUAAAAAUAAGACGAAGCUUUGCAUGAAGUGACGUGAAGUUUGUACAAAUCAAGAUAUCUCCGUUACCAAAGGAUGAACCAUCAUGUUUUAAAACAUCUUUUCGAUUGCAACUGCCGGCGAUACUCUUUGAAAAGUUCAUAAGCCGAACAAUAAUGCACUUAUUUAUGCACUUAUAAUGCAUUUAUUUAAUGAUUUGCAUGUGAAAAAUACACAAUGGCUUAAUCACUUUGAUGAAGGAGGGAUUACAUCAUUGAUGCAUUUAAAGUAAUGACAUGUGCUAAUCGAUAAUACCAAUAUACCUGGAGAAGUGUUAAAUGUCUCUACACAUCAAUGUUAUACCACAAGAAGUAAUGCAUUCAUCUGUAGUUGUAGCGAAUAUGUCAAUGGAUUGUGUCAGUACAGUUAUUCAAAAAGUGUCGAAUAUUCCAAUGCAUAUGAAAAUUACAUCGGAAAAAAUGAUUCCUUCAUGUACAGUUAUAGAAAAUGUGCCAAUGAAUUUUGUCGAUGUGUUUAAAAAAAUAUCAACUGCGUCAACAUAUAUCAAUGUCGCAUCAAAAGAAAUUAUAGAUGCAUUAAAGAAUAUUAUGAAUGUAUGUAAUAUAGACAAUACUUUACAUGUGACACCAAGUGCAUCAUCUGUAACAAAUCUCCAUAGCUCCAAUAAAGGUGUUGACUCCAUAAAAAACUUGCAACAAGAAUUGGAAACCUUGAAGAAGAAACUUGCAAAAUUCAAACUACAAGAGAAGUUGAAUAGAGAUGAAGUUACAUUUAUAUUAUUACUCUAGUAUUUACUGAAUUUGCAUACAUGUAUUUUAUUUGCUUUACGUUUUCAGCAAGAAUCUUAAAUUACAAGAGAUUGCAGUGAAGGAAAAAUUGAAGGCAGCAAGAACAAAAUUUAUCUUGGUACAUUGAAAUGUGAAGUCAAAAUGUACACAAAUCUUUACGUCGAGUCAAAUAUGAAUAUUAUUGAAUCUUAAUGCGACACGCAUAAACUGGUCUUCAGAAGAUAUAGCGAGCGCUAUGUCUUCACGAUGCAUCAGUCCCAAAGCUUACCGAUACAUGAGAAGUAUUAUAAAAAUGCUUCUCCCUGUUUUUUCAAUUCUGAGAAGAUAUGCCACACUUGUUCGAGUUAGCAAGAAAUCACUUUAUUGAUAAUGAGUUUGGUGUGCGGAGACAUCGCAUGGACAAGAAGUAUAUCGAAUGAAUCUUAAGUAUUUGUGCAAAAGAGAUGUAAAAGUUUCUUACAAUAUUUUCCAAUAUUACCUUCACGUCCAAGGCUAUGAAAGACAAAAAAUUCUUCCUACUAUACUUUAUACAAUUUUUAUACAAUUACUUUCUGAACGAAUAGCUUGCAUUGAAUGGUUUGGACAAAAAACUACUUCAAUAAUUUUGACUAGAAGGAAACAGCCCGCAUUAUCUGCUUGUUUAACGACUGGUUGGAAAUGUUUAAUGCUAAUAGUAUAUAUGGCAAACAUGACGGCAAGAUAGCAUUUUAUAAGAAAUGACCGAACUAAUGAAUGAGAUGACAAUUGAGAUGGAAGGCACAAAAGUUUAAUUACAUUCCAAAAAGGCAUUAUUAUUAGUAACUGUUCUUUGCAGCAAUUUUUGCCAAUUAAGGAAAUGUAUUCCAACAACAAUGUUAAGAUGCAAUACAUUAUUUACCAAACGGUUAAAUCAAGAUGUACUUGAAAACUUAUUUUCAUUAAUCAGAGCUAUUGGUAUUGCAUGCGACAAGCCUAUCGCUCUAGAUUUCAAAUACUGUGUAAAAAAGAUAUGUUUUAGGCAAGUACUCAACCAAUGUGUUUUGUAAUGAAAGGAUUUGUAACGUUUCGGUAGAAUCUAUCUGGCUUUGUAUCCCCUCUUGUCAUAUACUGCCGAAGCUACUGCCGCAUUUUGAUAUAUUACUGCCUUUUGAAGAAGAAUUGCGCAAAAUAUGAUGCAAAAAAUAAUAAUGUAACUGUAUACAAUCUACGAAUAUCGAACUUUGAAAGAAGAGGAAUUUUUCGCUUUUAUACACUGAGAGAAAAAUUUACUAAAUUUUAAUAAAUAAUUGUUUGAAUAGUACUAAUAUAAAUAUAAUAUAAUACAGAAAUCAAACGUGUUAUAAUAGUGCGUACUCUACCGUUGUGCCAUGAGUGAUAAUUUCUAUAAUUCUGUUUUCACUAUACUGAAGAUGGCCCGAAGAGGAGCCGAAACGCCUAUGUAAUAUAAAAAAGAUUUUACGCAUCACUUACUGCAUUAUAAUUCUCAUUAGUCCAUUUGAUUACAUUUAUAAUAAUAGGUAAAUCAAAUAUAUUUAUGGAAAAUGAAUAUUUGCUGAAUCAAAUAUAAUAAUAGGUAUAAAUAUACAAAACUCGAAAUUGUCAAAAAUGUAAUCAAAUGGAGCUAAUAACGCGGUAAGUGAUGCGUAAAAUCUGUAUCAUAUAUCAAGUAUUACAGACGUUUCGGCUUCUCUUCAGUAUACAGUGAAGUCAGAAUUAUAGAAAUUUUCACUCAUGGUAGAAUACUCACUCAAACGAUUUAAAUUCAGUUGACACUUGGUAGAAAGGUCAGAUGGCAACGAACAAAUAAUUGAAACAUGAUUAUUCCGUUCAGUCAAAAAAGCAGUUAUAAAGAAUUAAUCAAAUAGUAAAAAAUAUUGACUAAGAAAAUCUAUCAGUAUUGAAAUCAAACAUGGUAUAGUAAUGGGUACUCUAUCGUUGUAUCAUGAGCGAAAAUUUCUAUAAUUCUUACUUCACUGACUGUAUACUGAAGAUGGCCCGAAGAGAAGCCGAAACAUCUAUGUAAUACUUGAUAUACGAUAAAGAUUUUACGUACCACUUACCGCACUGUAACUCAU
Molecule: long non-coding RNA, 2973 nt
Organism: Trachymyrmex septentrionalis
Lineage: Eukaryota; Metazoa; Arthropoda; Insecta; Hymenoptera; Formicidae
Exons: 5
Source: RefSeq, a predicted model, not a curated record